AGGGACUUAAGUUAAUUAAAAACUAAUAGCCUUCAAAGCUCUAAUUGGAUAAAACCAGCCCCUA
This 64-nucleotide transfer RNA is filed under the name Venustaconcha ellipsiformis. Its description in RNAcentral is "tRNA-Trp". The record is from RNAcentral. Lineage: Eukaryota; Metazoa; Mollusca; Bivalvia; Unionida; Unionidae.